Molecule: non-coding RNA, 542 nt
Organism: Podarcis lilfordi (Lilford's wall lizard)
Lineage: Eukaryota; Metazoa; Chordata; Lepidosauria; Squamata; Lacertidae
Source: the annotation of a GenBank genome assembly
CACACGUCCUGGUGUCUUUGGAUUACAACACCCAUCAGCUCCAGACCCAGCAGGUUUCCUUCAGGUGUGCCUCUGUCAAUGUGGUCCAGGGAUGGGAGACGAUUAUCUUUUGGUCUCCAUUUUAAGUUUAGCCUACCUGUGCUUCCCAAAACAAUCAACAACCCAAAAUGUGAUUCCUCCAAAAUCCUCACUUCUCUGAAUUUUGCAUGAUGUGGUUCCAAUUCUCCCCAAAAUGUGUGUGAGCGUGAAGCAUGCAUGGAAAUUAUUAUUAAUUUUAUUUGUAUUUGUUCUUGACUAUCCCACCUUUUUUUUUUUUUUUAUAAUAUUUUUUAUUGCAUUUUUCCAGAUAGAAAUACAAGGUCAGAUGUACAAAGAAAUAACAGAAAAAAGAAAGAAAAAGAAGAAAAUCAUCUUUUCAAAGCAUUUUUCCAUAACCAACCGGACUUCCCCCCGUCCCCCUCACCUUGCGUUCUUUACAAUAAAAUUUUUCAGCAAAUUAUAACCUUAUUUCGUGCAUUCUUUUGUUCUUUCAAAUACUUGUG